AUUAUGGCUCAGGAUGAACGCUAGCUACAGGCUUAACACAUGCAAGUCGAGGGGCAGCAUGAUUCUAGCUUGCUAGAAUUGAUGGCGACCGGCGCACGGGUGCGUAACACGUAUCCAAUCUACCCAUGGCUCAGGGAUAGCCUUUCGAAAGAAAGAUUAAUACCUGAUAGUCUUACCUGGAGACAUCUCCUGGUAAGUAAAGAUUCAUCGGCGAUGGAUGGGGAUGCGUCCGAUUAGGUUGUUGGCGGGUAACGGCCCACCAAGCCCACGAUCAGUAGGGGUUCUGAGAGGAAGGUCCCCCACAUUGGAACUGAGACACGGUCCAAACUCCUACGGGAGGCAGCAGUGAGGAAUAUUGGUCAAUGGACGAGAGUCUGAACCAGCCAAGUAGCGUGCAGGAUGACGGCCCUAUGGGUUGUAAACUGCUUUUAUACAGGGAUAAAGUUCACUACGUGUAGUGUUUUGUAGGUACUGUAUGAAUAAGGACCGGCUAAUUCCGUGCCAGCCGCUGC
This 512-nucleotide ribosomal RNA is filed under the name uncultured bacterium. Its description in RNAcentral is "bacterial SSU rRNA". It matches the Rfam family "Bacterial small subunit ribosomal RNA", at positions 16 to 518 of the family's 1533-position model. The record is from RNAcentral.